CCUUAGUUACCAGCAUUAAGUUGGGUACUUUAAGGAGACUGCCGGUGACAAACCGGAGGAAGGUGGGGACGACGUCAAGUCAUCAUGGCCCUUACGAGUAGGGCUACACACGUGCUACAAUGGCGAGUACAAAGGGAUGCAAACUGGUGACAGUAAGCGGACCCCUUAAAGCUCGUCGUAGUCCGGAUUGGAGUCUGCAACUCGACUCCAUGAAGUCGGAAUCGCUAGUAAUCGUAGGUCAGCAUACUACGGUGAAUACGUUCCCGGGCCUU
RNAcentral lists this ribosomal RNA (272 nucleotides) under uncultured marine bacterium pC2-24. RNAcentral describes it as "partial 16S ribosomal RNA". It matches the Rfam family "Bacterial small subunit ribosomal RNA", at positions 1109 to 1382 of the family's 1533-position model. Lineage: Bacteria; Pseudomonadati; Pseudomonadota; Gammaproteobacteria. The record is from RNAcentral.